Molecule: long non-coding RNA, 1613 nt
Filed under: Panax ginseng (ginseng)
Lineage: Eukaryota; Viridiplantae; Streptophyta; Magnoliopsida; Apiales; Araliaceae
Description: long non-coding RNA (PGIN_LNC003570)
Source: RNAcentral
GCUUAAAUUGUGUAAGAUAAUAAUUUGAUCUUUAUAAGUAAUAUGCUCAAGAAUAAUGAUCCUAGCAACAUUUUCUAUUUGCACUCAGCUUAUCAGAAAUAGUUAGUUUUCCAUAAUGUUACAGAAAAUUAAUUUGUUCCCAUGUAUGCAUGGUUGGACUUGCUAUGUGAUGCUUUUUUCUCUUCAAUGUUUGUGCAGUGAAGGCUUUUCCCAAAAAUGAUCCGGCGAAGCCUUGCCGAUUGACUGCAUUCCUGGGAUACAAAGCUGGGAUGACUCAUAUUGUCAGAGAAGUUGAAAAACCAGGGUCAAGUGAGUUGCUUCACUCCUAUCUAUGUUUCCUUUGGUAAAGGGAUAUUCCUGUCAUAUGGUAACAUUAACUUGCUAAAAGUAAUAUCAAAACAUACAAGAAUAUAACAGGACACUUGCGUCUGUAAAUAUUUCGUUUUAUGGGAUUCUUAUUUCUCUUUUCUGUAUAACUUGUGUUUGAAAAUAGGAUUACAUCAAGUAUUCCUUUUACUUUUUAUUUAUUCUUUAAUGGUAAAUGACCAAAUUAAGGGAACUUUUUCAUAUCAUGAAUUUGAAUUAAAUUGCAUAGGAGUCCUUGCUGAUCAAUUAAGUCAGCUUAUGAUUAGAUAUUAUUGUGUUGUGGUAUUUAUUUCUUUCUAGCUCCACAUUUAUUCCUUCUCUUGGUUAUUUUUAGUAUUACUUGAAACGUGGUACGUUUCGGUACAUAGUAUGAAUACAGCUACGUGGUACACUAUAUAGUUAAAAAGAGAUACGCUAGGGUAUCUUUAUAUAAGUUUUUAUAUUUGGGAAUUAUCUUAGAAUCUAAACGUAAUAAACCUAAGCUUUAUAGAAGAUUUUUAGUUGAAUCACAAGUUGAUUGUUUUAUAAAUAUUUUAGUACAAAUGUAAUGUUUGUACGUUUAAUUUAGUGUACUGGUACAUAAGAGUACCAUGUUUGGGUAUGCAAGUACCAAUACGCAGUUCGCUAGGUUUAUGUGAGUAUCUAGUAACUCUGGUUAUUCCCUUCCACAAUGUCAUCGGUCUCCACAAAAGAGAAGCAGGCCAAUUUUCGAUUUGCAAAACACUUAAAAGGGAAACUAAAUAAUUUUAAAGUGAUGGAAAUAUGUACUUUCAAAAUUGAUGUGUUGCAUUAUAGGUGUUCUAUCUAUUGUUUAUGAAUUUGUCAAAAUUGUUGUUACUCAGAACUCCCCAAGAAAGAGUUAGGCUGUAACAAUUAUAGAAGCACUGCCCAUGAUUGUUGUUGGGGUUGUUGGUUAUGUCAAAACACCAUGUGGCCUCCGUUGUCUGAAUACUGUUUGGGCCCAACAUCUUAAUGAGGAUGUGAAGAGGAGAUUCUACAAGAAUUGGUGCAAGUCCAAGAAGAAGGCUUUCUGCUAGUGUUCAAAGAAGUACGAGAGUGAAGAAGGCAUUCAGUCACAGCUGGAGAAAUGCUCACAAACAGGUGCUCUAUCUUGUAGUUUUCAUCUAUCAUUCCAGCAGUUCUACUUUAUUGUGUAUAUUUAAUGUUUUCAAAUCUGUAGAUUCAGAAGAUGAAAGGGCUAAAGCAGAAGAAGGCUCACCUGAUGGAGAUACAAGUGAAUGGUGAAG